RNAcentral lists this ribosomal RNA (466 nucleotides) under uncultured bacterium. Its description in RNAcentral is "partial 16S ribosomal RNA". It matches the Rfam family "Bacterial small subunit ribosomal RNA", at positions 28 to 507 of the family's 1533-position model. The record is from RNAcentral.
GAUGAACGCUGGCGGCGUGCUUAACACAUGCAAGUCGAACGAUGAAGCCCAGCUUGCUGGGUGGAUUAGUGGCGAACGGGUGAGUAACACGUGAGUAACCUGCCCUUAACUCUGGGAUAAGCCUGGGAAACUGGGUCUAAUACCGGAUAGGAGCGUCCACCGCAUGGUGGGUGUUGGAAAGAUUUAUCGGUUUUGGAUGGCCUCGCGGCCUAUCAGCUUGUUGGUGAGGUAAUGGCUCACCAAGGCGACGACGGGUAGCCGGCCUGAGAGGGUGACCGGCCACACUGGGACUGAGACACGGCCCAGACUCCUACGGGAGGCAGCAGUGGGGAAUAUUGCACAAUGGGCGCAAGCCUGAUGCAGCGACGCCGCGUGAGGGAUGACGGCCUUCGGGUUGUAAACCUCUUUCAGUAGGGAAGAAGCGAAAGUGACGGUACCUGCAGAAGAAGCACCGGCUAACUACGUG